This 465-nucleotide ribosomal RNA is filed under the name uncultured bacterium. Its description in RNAcentral is "partial 16S ribosomal RNA". It matches the Rfam family "Bacterial small subunit ribosomal RNA", at positions 338 to 795 of the family's 1533-position model. The record is from RNAcentral.
CCUACGGGAGGCUGCAGUGGGGAAUAUUGCGCAAUGGGCGAAAGCCUGACGCAGCGACGCCGCGUGAGGGAUGAAGGUCUUCGGAUCGUAAACCUCUGUCAGCAGGGAAGAACGGUCACUGUGCUAAUCAGCAGUGAAUUGACGGUAACUGCAAAGGAAGCACCGGCUAACUCCGUGCCAGCAGCCGCGGUAAUACGGAGGGUGCGAGCGUUAAUCGGAAUUACUGGGCGUAAAGCGCGCGCAGGCGGUAUGAUAAGUCAAAGGUGAAAGCCCCGCGCUCAACGUGGGAACUGCCUUUGAAACUGGCGAACUUGAGUGCGGGAGAGGAUAGUGGAAUUCCAGGUGUAGGAGUGAAAUCCGUAGAUAUCUGGAGGAACACCAGUGGCGAAGGCGACUAUCUGGCACAUAACUGACGCUGAGGAGCGAAAGCGUGGGUAGCAAACAGGAUUAGAUACCCGUGUAGUC